CUUCAAGGCAGGGUGAGAUUCCCGACCGGCGGUAUAGUCCGCAACCCGCACAAAGUGCGGCUGAUCCGGUGUGAUCCCGGAACCGACAGUAUAGUCUGGAUGAGAGAAGGA
RNAcentral lists this non-coding RNA (111 nucleotides) under bovine gut metagenome. RNAcentral describes it as "FMN riboswitch (RFN element)". It matches the Rfam family "FMN riboswitch aptamer (RFN element)". Rfam says of the family: The RFN element is a highly conserved domain that is found frequently in the 5'-untranslated regions of prokaryotic mRNAs that encode for flavin mononucleotide (FMN) biosynthesis and transport proteins. This element is a metabolite-dependent riboswitch that directly binds FMN in the absence of proteins. The record is from RNAcentral.